Molecule: small nucleolar RNA, 236 nt
Organism: Cervus hanglu yarkandensis (Yarkand deer)
Lineage: Eukaryota; Metazoa; Chordata; Mammalia; Artiodactyla; Cervidae
Gene: SNORD17
Product: small nucleolar RNA, C/D box 17
Source: Ensembl
GUGAAAUGAUGAUUCAGUUUAUCCAUUCGCUGAGUGCGCUGCGCUGACCUUCUUCCAAGCCUGGGUUCCUGUUCUAGGAACUCUGGGUUACGUGGUUGCCAAAUGCCCUGCAGUCUGCUGUGUUCUACUGUGGACGGCUUGUGUGUUGGUGGACUACUGGUAAGAAUGGCUGGUGUCAGCAGGGAUGGGUCCCUGUGGGCUCAUCUCGCCAAGAUGAGUGGUGGAAAUCUGAUCAC